UCGCCAUUUAAAGUGGUACGCGAGCUGGGUUUAGAACGUCGUGAGACAGUUCGGUCCCUAUCUGCCGUGGGCGCUGGAGAACUGAGGGGGGCUGCUCCUAGUACGAGAGGACCGGAGUGGACGCAUCACUGGUGUUCGGGUUGUCAUGCCAAUGGCACUGCCCGGUAGCUAAAUGCGGAAGAGAUAAGUGCUGAAAGCAUCUAAGCACGAAACUUGCCCCGAGAUGAGUUCUCCCUGACUCCUUGAGAGUCCUGAAGGAACGUUGAAGACGACGACGUUGAUAGGCCGGGUGUGUAAGCGCAGCGAUGCGUUGAGCUAACCGGUACUAAUGAACCGUGAGG
This 341-nucleotide ribosomal RNA is filed under the name Escherichia coli. RNAcentral's name for it is "partial 23S ribosomal RNA". It matches the Rfam family "Bacterial large subunit ribosomal RNA", at positions 2581 to 2916 of the family's 2925-position model. Lineage: Bacteria; Pseudomonadati; Pseudomonadota; Gammaproteobacteria; Enterobacterales; Enterobacteriaceae. The record is from RNAcentral.